Molecule: transfer RNA, 73 nt
Filed under: Stegodyphus mimosarum
Lineage: Eukaryota; Metazoa; Arthropoda; Arachnida; Araneae; Eresidae
Rfam family: tRNA
About the family: Transfer RNA (tRNA) molecules are approximately 80 nucleotides in length. Their secondary structure includes four short double-helical elements and three loops (D, anti-codon, and T loops).
Source: Rfam by way of RNAcentral
GCCUUCGUGGUGUAGUGGUCAGUACACUCGACCCGUAACCGAGAGGUCCGUGGUUCGAUUCCUAGCGAAAACA